CAAGAUGCUGUGAACUAAAAGUUAUUAAAUACUACGAAUAUUACACAUUAAAUUAAUUGUGUUUAUUUUAUAGCCUGACUAAUUUAAUAUGAUUACAUACAUAUGUCGGAACCGGCCGGAUCGGACCAUUAUAUCAUAUAACUACCAUAGAAAUAAUCAGUCGGAACCUCUAAUAGAAGAAUCGUUUACAAUAACAG
Long non-coding RNA from Drosophila montana, 197 nucleotides. RefSeq lists it as uncharacterized. The record is from RefSeq and is a predicted model, not a curated record. NCBI's taxonomy places the organism in Eukaryota, Metazoa, Arthropoda, Insecta, Diptera, Drosophilidae. The transcript has 3 exons.